This 22-nucleotide non-coding RNA is filed under the name Arabidopsis thaliana (thale cress). Lineage: Eukaryota; Viridiplantae; Streptophyta; Magnoliopsida; Brassicales; Brassicaceae. The record is from RNAcentral.
UGUAUUUUGAAACACGAUGUUC